Molecule: ribosomal RNA, 484 nt
Filed under: uncultured bacterium
Lineage: Bacteria
Description: partial 16S ribosomal RNA
Rfam family: Bacterial small subunit ribosomal RNA
Source: RNAcentral
AUUGAACGCUGGCGGCAGGCCUAACACAUGCAAGUCGAGCGGAUGAAGGGAGCUUGCUCCUGGAUUCAGCGGCGGACGGGUGAGUAAUGCCUAGGAAUCUGCCUGGUAGUGGGGGAUAACGUCCGGACACGGGCGCUAAUACCGCAUACGUCCUGAGUGAGAAAGUGGGGGAUCUUCGGACCUCACGCUAUCAGAUGAGCCUAGGUCGGAUUAGCUAGUUGGUGGGGUAAAGGCCUACCAAGGCGACGAUCCGUAACUGGUCUGAGAGGAUGAUCAGUCACACUGGAACUGAGACACGGUCCAGACUCCUACGGGAGGCAGCAGUGGGGAAUAUUGGACAAUGGGCGAAAGCCUGAUCCAGCCAUGCCGCGUGUGUGAAGAAGGUCUUCGGAUUGUAAAGCACUUUAAGUUGGGAGGAAGGGCAGUAAGUUAAUACCUUGCUGUUUUGACGUUACCAACAGAAUAAGCACCGGCUAACUUCGUG